This 492-nucleotide ribosomal RNA is filed under the name uncultured bacterium. RNAcentral's name for it is "partial 16S ribosomal RNA". It matches the Rfam family "Bacterial small subunit ribosomal RNA", at positions 30 to 507 of the family's 1533-position model. The record is from RNAcentral.
AGUGAACGCUGGCGGUAGGCCUAACACAUGCAAGUCGAACGGCAGCACAGUAAGAGCGUGCUCUGACGGGUGGCGAGUGGCGGACGGGUGAGGAAUACAUCGGGAUCUACUUUUUCGUGGGGGAUAAGGUAGGGGAACUUAAGUUAAUACCGCAUACGACCUACGGGGGAAAGCAGGGGAUCUUUGGACCUUGCGCGAUUGAAUGAGCCGAUGACGGGUUAGCUGGUGGGGGGGGUAAAGACCAACCAAGGCGAGGGUCCGCAGCUGGAGUGAGAGAAGGAUAAGCCGCACUGGAACUGGAACGCGGUCCAGACUCCUACGGGAGGCCGCAGUGGCGAAUAUUGGGCAAUGGGCGGAAGCCUGAUCCAGCCAUCCCGCGUGGGUGAAGGAAGCCUUCGGGUUGUAAAGCCCUUUUGUUGGGAAAAAACAGCAGCAGGUUGAUACGCAGCUGUUCUGACGGUACCCAAAGAAUAAGCACCGGCUAACUUCGUG